RNAcentral lists this ribosomal RNA (484 nucleotides) under uncultured bacterium. RNAcentral describes it as "partial 16S ribosomal RNA". It matches the Rfam family "Bacterial small subunit ribosomal RNA", at positions 28 to 523 of the family's 1533-position model. The record is from RNAcentral.
GACGAACGCUGGCGGCGUGCUUAACACAUGCAAGUCGGACGGUGAAGCAGGAGCUUGCUCUUGUGGAUCAGUGGCGAACGGGUGAGUAACACGUGAGCAACCUGCCCCUGACUCUGGGAUAAGCGCUGGAAACGGCGUCUAAUACUGGAUAUGUGAUGUGACCGCAUGGUCUGCAUCUGGAAAGAAUUUCGGUUGGGGAUGGGCUCGCGGCCUAUCAGCUUGUUGGUGAGGUAAUGGCUCACCAAGGCGUCGACGGGUAGCCGGCCUGAGAGGGUGGCCGGCCACACUGGGACUGAGACACGGCCCAGACUCCUACGGGGGGCAGCAGUGGGGAAUAUUGCACAAUGGGCGGAAGCCUGAUGCAGCAACGCCGCGUGAGGGAUGACGGCCUUCGGGUUGUAAACCUCUUUUAGCAGGGAAGAAGCGAAAGUGACGGUACCUGCAGAAAAAGCACCGGCUAACUACGUGCCAGCCGCCGCGGUAA